GCAUGUGCAUAUACUGUUGUCUCAGCACCAUUUUUUGAAGGGACUGUUCUUUCCUCCUUAAAAGGGUUCAGCAUCUUUGUUAAAAAUCAAUUAGCCAUGGAUGUGUGGGCUUACUUCUGGACUCUCAGUUCUGUUCCAUUAGUCUAUAUGUCUAUUCUUAUUUCAGCACCACAAUAUUUUGAUUACUGUAGGUUUGUAGUAAGUUUUGUUUGUUUGUUUGUUUUUUAUUGUUUUUUUUUUUUUGAUUGGUAGUAAGUUUUGAAAUCAGGAAGUAUGAAUCCUCCAACUUUGUUCUUGUUUUUUUAGGAUUGUUUUGGCUAUUCAGAGCCCCUUGCAAUUUCAUAUGAAUUUGAACAUUGCUUUUCCAUUUCUACAAGAAGGCUACUGGAAUUUUGGCUAUGUUUUAUCAGUGGGUGGCAAGCAGAUGAGAGAUAGAGAAGAUUCUGGUUUCAAAGCAAAUAAACACCAACCUGGAUGAUGGAAUGUCCACAGGCAAAACAAAGCAGGAAAAAAAUGCAUAUAUCCUGCUUGGCCAAAUGGAUAUCCUGAGGAGGGUUAUUUCAAGAGAGGAGGUGUCAUCAGGACCAGGGGCUGAUGGGAGUUGCCUGAGGCAGACGGGAGAGUGUGGAAGAACUGGAAAAACUUGGGUGUUGCUGAAGGUAAGUUGUUUGGGUAUCUGUGAAGGAACCUGUUGGGUCAUUUCUACUCUUCACUAUCCUUUUGUCAGUUUGUGACACAUGUGAAUGAUAAUCUAAACAAAAGCAGGGAGAAAUGGGAAAAUGGUUUCCCUCUUUAACUUAUCUUGGUUUAUUUCAACCUCUAUUGCAGCAAAUGCAAUGAACAUUCAAAAAGAAAGAAAUAUCGAGGAUCAUCAGUGUUUAAAGGCAAAUUCUGAAACUUAAACGUUUGUACAUGACUGUAAUUUGUUGAAAUCUGUUUUUCCAUUUAGCCCACUUGACCUGUUAAAAUUGAGCUCUUUUUAAGUUAAGCAUCAUGGAAAUGUAGUUAUUUGAUAAAUAAUUGUGUUUCUCUGAAUAAAAAAAAAAAGGAAAAGUAAAUAUUCCUAGCCAUAGAUAUAGAUAUAGAUAUACAGAUAUACUCUUUGUUAAAUUCAUGAAUAUAUGCUAAAGUCAUGAAUAUACUUUUUGCUAAAUUAAGGAGCACCUAUAAAACAAAAAUGUUUAUUUGUUUUAGGACUAAAUUAUUACUGAGCUUCUCCUCAUUCACAAUUAUACUUUGGUUUAUGAAGUAUCAGAUUGGUUUUGGCGGAAAGGAGUAGAUUUGCUUGUCCUGAAAAACAGAUUUUGGAUAAGGGGGAUUUCAGUCUGAAAGAAUAGAUUUCUUUUAACUUAAUCCAAUCACGUGUGUGUGUGUGUGUGUGUGUGUGUGUGUGUGUGUGUGUUCCUUUCUAGCUGACUCACCAUAUUUUUCCCCUUCAGAGUUAUAGAAGUUUAUUUGGGACUCCUGUUUGGCACAACUAAACUGUCUGUUUUAGAGAUUAUCCUACUUCAGCAAUGGGUGUGGUUUUUGUCUUUUUAAAAUUUUUAUAAAUUUGAGUUUUGUCAGCUCGUUUUCUCCAGCAAUGUUUGGAAACUUGAGAAAGUAGCUCUGAAAGUUAUUUUAUGCAUUGAUCUUGGAAUUAAAAGAACCUGGAACUAGAACUCUCAGAGCCUGAAAGAAACAACUUGUGAUAUAGGUGGGCUAAGUUCCCUCAUCUGAAAUGCAAGGACAAUGGAAGCUCAGAGAUACUGAGUGUGAUUUGUCCAAGCCUGCAAGGCUGGCUAGUGGGAGAGGUUGCUCCAAACCUAGGUUUGCCAGUUCACUGUGCACAUAUAAACAUUUUCUAGUUCUAAUAAAAGAGAGUGCAAAAAUUCCUUGAACACUAAUUACAGCUAAUUUGAAUCAUAGGUUUUGGAUAGGAUUCUCAGGAAGUUGAUGCAGAACCUUCAUAGUUACUUUACAUAAAAUUUAAAUUGAUAGAAAUUAAUAUGUCU
Molecule: long non-coding RNA, 1994 nt
Organism: Herpailurus yagouaroundi (jaguarundi)
Lineage: Eukaryota; Metazoa; Chordata; Mammalia; Carnivora; Felidae
Exons: 3
Source: RefSeq, a predicted model, not a curated record